This is a non-coding RNA of Marmota monax (woodchuck), 444 nucleotides long. The record is from the annotation of a RefSeq genome assembly. Lineage: Eukaryota; Metazoa; Chordata; Mammalia; Rodentia; Sciuridae.
GAUUUGGGGGAAACCUCUGUUCAGAAUCAGGAACAGAAGUUGGAGCUCAGGAUGACCUUCACAAUGGCCUGGUCCUGUCUCCUCUUCACAUUCCUUGUUCAGUGCACAGGGUCCUGGUCCCAGUCUGUGCUGACUCAGCAGCCCACAAUGUCUGGGACUCCAGGAGUGACAGUCACCAUCUCCUGCACUGGAAGCAGCACAAAUAUUGGGAAUAGCUAUAAUGUGCACUGGUACCAACAGCUCCCAGAAACGGCCCCCAAACUCCUCAUCUAUAGUAAUAGUAAUCGACCCUCAGGGGUCCCUGAUCACUUCUCUGGCUCUAAAUCUGGCAACUCUGGCUCACUGACCAUCAAUAGGCUACAGCCUGAGGAUGAGGCUGACUAUUUCUGUCAGUCUUAUGACAGUAGCCUCAGUUCUCGCACAGUGCUUCAGGUUCAUGGGGAA